UACGAAGGGGGCUAGCGUUGUUCGGAAUUACUGGGCGUAAAGCGUGCGCAGGCGGCUUCUCAAGUCAGGGGUGAAAGCCCAGAGCUUAACUCUGGAAUUGCCUUUGAGACUGAGAGGCUUGAGUACGGGAGAGGUGAGUGGAAUUCCCAGUGUAGAGGUGAAAUUCGUAGAUAUUGGGAAGAACACCGGUGGCGAAGGCGGCUCUCUGGACCGAUACUGACGCUGAGGCGCGAAAGCGUGGGGAGCAAACAGG
Molecule: ribosomal RNA, 253 nt
Filed under: uncultured bacterium
Lineage: Bacteria
Description: partial 16S ribosomal RNA
Rfam family: Bacterial small subunit ribosomal RNA
Source: RNAcentral